AUUGAACGCUGGCGGCAUGCCUUACACAUGCAAGUCGAACGGUAACGGGCCUUCGGGUGCCGACGAGUGGCGAACGGGUGAGUAAUACAUCGGAACGUGCCCGAUCGUGGGGGAUAACGAGGCGAAAGCUUUGCUAAUACCUCAUACGAUCUACGGAUGAAAGCAGGGGACCGCAAGGCUUUGCGCGGGCGGAGCGGCCGAUGGUAGAUUAGGUAGUUGGUGGGAUAAAAGCUUACCAAGCCGACGAUCUGUAGCUGGUCUGAGAGGAUGAUCAGCCACACUGGGACUGAGACACGGCCCAGACUCCUACGGGAGGCAGCAGUGGGGAAUUUUGGACAAUGGGCGCAAGCCUGAUCCAGCCAUGCCGCGUGCAGGAUGAAGGCCUUCGGGUUGUAAACUGCUUUUGUACGGAACGAAAAGCCUUCUUUUAAUACAGGAGGGUCAUGACGGUACCGUAAGAAUAAGCACCGGCUAACUACGUG
This 482-nucleotide ribosomal RNA is filed under the name uncultured bacterium. RNAcentral's name for it is "partial 16S ribosomal RNA". It matches the Rfam family "Bacterial small subunit ribosomal RNA", at positions 30 to 507 of the family's 1533-position model. The record is from RNAcentral.